Molecule: ribosomal RNA, 261 nt
Filed under: uncultured archaeon
Lineage: Archaea
Description: partial 16S ribosomal RNA
Rfam family: Archaeal small subunit ribosomal RNA
Source: RNAcentral
CAGCCCUAAACGAUGCGCGUUAGGUGUAUCGGUGACCACGAGUCACCGAGGUGCCGAAGGGAAACCGUGAAACGAGCCACCUGGGAAGUACGGCCGCAAGGCUGAAACUUAAAGGAAUUGGCGGGGGAGCACAACAACGGGUGGAGCUUGCGGUUUAAUUGGAUUCAACGCCGGAAAUCUUACCGGGACCGACAGCAACAUGAAGGCCAAGCUGAAGACUUUGCCGGAUUAGCUGAGAGGUGGUGCAUGGCGUCAGUGACU